CCUACGGGAGGCAGCAGUGAGGAAUAUUGGUCAAUGGGCGUAAGCCUGAACCAGCCAAGUCGCGUGAGGGAUGAAGGUUCUAUGGAUCGUAAACCUCUUUUAUAAGGGAAUAAAGUGUGGGACGUGUCCUGUUUUGUAUGUACCUUAUGAAUAAGGAUCGGCUAACUCCGUGCCAGCAGCCGCGGUAAUACGGAGGAUCCGAGCGUUAUCCGGAUUUAUUGGGUUUAAAGGGUGCGUAGGCGGCCUUUUAAGUCAGCGGUGAAAGUCUGUGGCUCAACCAUAGAAUUGCAGUUGAAACUGGGAGGCUUGAGUAUAGUUGAGGCAGGCGGAAUGCGUGGUGUAGCGGUGAAAUGCUUAGAUAUCACGCAGAACCCCGAUUGCGAAGGCAGCCUGCCAAGCCAUGACUGACGCUGAUGCACGAAAGCGUGGGGAUCAAACAGGAUUAGAUACCCGAGUAGUC
Molecule: ribosomal RNA, 460 nt
Filed under: uncultured bacterium
Lineage: Bacteria
Description: partial 16S ribosomal RNA
Rfam family: Bacterial small subunit ribosomal RNA
Source: RNAcentral